AACGAACGCUGGCGGCAUGCCUAACACAUGCAAGUCGAACGAGACCUUCGGGUCUAGUGGCGCACGGGUGCGUAACGCGUGGGAACCUGCCCUUAGGUUCGGAAUAACUCCCCGAAAGGGGUGCUAAUACCGGAUAAUGUCUUCGGACCAAAGAUUUAUCGCCUUUGGAUGGGCCCGCGUUGGAUUAGCUAGUUGGUAGGGUAAAAGCCUACCAAGGCGACGAUCCAUAGCUUGUCUGAGAGGAUGAUCAGCCACACUGGGACUGAGACACGGCCCAGACUCCUACGGGAGGCAGCAGUGGGGAAUAUUGGACAGUGGGCGAAAGCCUGAUCCAGCAAUGCCGCGUGAGUGAUGAAGGCCUUAGGGUUGUAAAGCUCUUUUACCCGGGAUGAUAAUGACAGUACCGGGAGAAUAAGCUCCGGCUAACUCCGUG
This 433-nucleotide ribosomal RNA is filed under the name uncultured bacterium. RNAcentral's name for it is "partial 16S ribosomal RNA". It matches the Rfam family "Bacterial small subunit ribosomal RNA", at positions 29 to 507 of the family's 1533-position model. The record is from RNAcentral.